This 60-nucleotide non-coding RNA is filed under the name Bacillus sp. (in: firmicutes). RNAcentral's name for it is "Bacillus sp. Fluoride sequence". It matches the Rfam family "Fluoride riboswitch aptamer (crcB RNA motif)". RNAcentral also lists the same sequence under 1 other name. The record is from RNAcentral. Lineage: Bacteria; Bacillati; Bacillota; Bacilli; Caryophanales; Bacillaceae.
AAAAUAUACGGCGAUGGAGUUCGCCAAAACUGCUGCAGAGCUAAUGACUCCUACCCAUAU